UCCAGACUCCUACGGGAGGCAGCAGUGAGGAAUAUUGGUCAAUGGGCGAGAGCCUGAACCAGCCAAGUCGCGUGAGGGAGUACUGCCCUAUGGGUUGUAAACCUCUUUAGGCGGGGAGCAAUGCCGGGCACGCGUGCCCGGAGGGAGAGUACCCGCAGAAUAAGCAUCGGCUAACUCCGUGCCAGCAGCCGCGGUAAUACGGAGGAUGCGAGCGUUAUCCGGAUUUAUUGGGUUUAAAGGGUGCGUAGGCGGAUUUUUAAGUCAGCGGUAAAAUGUCCGGGCUCAACCCGGGCCGGCCGUUGAAACUGGGGAUCUUGAGUGGGCGAGAAGUAUGCGGAAUGCGUGGUGUAGCGGUGAAAUGCAUAGAUAUCACGCAGAACUCCGAUUGCGAAGGCAGCAUACCGGCGCCCGACUGACGCUGAGGCACGAAAGCGUGGGGAUCGAACAGGAUUAGAUACCCUAGUACU
This 467-nucleotide ribosomal RNA is filed under the name uncultured bacterium. Its description in RNAcentral is "bacterial SSU rRNA". It matches the Rfam family "Bacterial small subunit ribosomal RNA", at positions 330 to 794 of the family's 1533-position model. The record is from RNAcentral.